Molecule: ribosomal RNA, 468 nt
Filed under: uncultured bacterium
Lineage: Bacteria
Description: partial 16S ribosomal RNA
Rfam family: Bacterial small subunit ribosomal RNA
Source: RNAcentral
GACGAACGCUGGCGGCGUGCUUAACACAUGCAAGUCGAACGGAAAGGCCCUGCUUUUGUGGGGUGCUCGAGUGGCGAACGGGUGAGUAACACGUGAGUAACCUGCCCUUGACUUUGGGAUAACUUCAGGAAACUGGGGCUAAUACCGGAUAGGAGCUCCUGCUGCAUGGUGGGGGUUGGAAAGUUUCGGCGGUUGGGGAUGGACUCGCGGCUUAUCAGCUUGUUGGUGGGGUAGUGGCUUACCAAGGCUUUGACGGGUAGCCGGCCUGAGAGGGUGACCGGCCACAUUGGGACUGAGAUACGGCCCAGACUCCGACGGGAGGCAGCAGGGGGGAAGAUUGAACAAUGGGCGGAAGCCUGAUGCAGCAACGCCGCGUGCGGGAUGACGGCCUUCGGGUUGUAAACCGCUUUCGCCUGUGACGAAGCGUGAGUGACGGUAAUGGGUAAAGAAGCACCGGGUAAAUACGUG